Molecule: transfer RNA, 69 nt
Filed under: Marmota monax (woodchuck)
Lineage: Eukaryota; Metazoa; Chordata; Mammalia; Rodentia; Sciuridae
Description: tRNA.Thr
Source: RNAcentral
AGGGUUGUAGCUCAGUGGUACAGUGCUUGCCUAGUAUGUGUGAGACACUAGGUUGGAUCCCCAGCUCUA